Molecule: long non-coding RNA, 416 nt
Filed under: Equus caballus (horse)
Lineage: Eukaryota; Metazoa; Chordata; Mammalia; Perissodactyla; Equidae
Description: lncRNA (ENSECAG00000046724.1)
Source: RNAcentral
CCCGGCCCCAGUUUGUUAAUAUUAAUGGUCUGCCCCUCCUCAUUAGGACUCAAACAUUAUCACUGGCAAAUAUAAUUCCCAUUUUGUUUUCCAUCAGAUCAUUGAGAUGUUACACCUGAGCAUCCUGGCCAGACCUGGGAGCUGAUCUUUCUCUGAUUUACUUUAUGGUGCCCACCUGCUUGUCUGCCUCCUGGGCCUGUUCUCUUUUCACUCGAGGUUGCAGAGCAUAUUGGCCUGGUUUCCCACCGAUUGUGUCCUCAGAGUGCCCUCUGUCUGGAAGACCUGAGAUUUGGGUGGAUUCCUGUCUUCUCGAGGUCCCCCAGAAUAUUUCGAGGUUCCAGGCACCUGCCAGAUAAGCGACAUUCCUUACUUACCAGGUCAAAAGAAAGCCUUCAUUCAGGAUUUGAAUAUUUUUU